GUGAAUCAUCAAAUUUUUGAACGCAAAUUGCACUCUCUUCGGAGAGUAUGCCUAUUUGAGGGUCAGCCUAAAAAAAUCCACCAUAGUCCCUGUUUCCGGUUGCCUUUCUUCGGAAAUUGGGUCAUCUAAAACCUUUUGGUUUUAACGGCCUAAAAAUUUUCUUUACGAUCCCACGAAGGUUUUAAAGUUUAA
RNAcentral lists this unclassified non-coding RNA (192 nucleotides) under Glomus sp. Its description in RNAcentral is "partial contains 5.8S ribosomal RNA and internal transcribed spacer 2". The stretch from base 1 to 65 matches the Rfam family "5.8S ribosomal RNA", at positions 84 to 154 of the family's 154-position model. Lineage: Eukaryota; Fungi; Glomeromycota; Glomeromycetes; Glomerales; Glomeraceae. The record is from RNAcentral.